Molecule: long non-coding RNA, 1590 nt
Organism: Equus caballus (horse)
Lineage: Eukaryota; Metazoa; Chordata; Mammalia; Perissodactyla; Equidae
Source: RefSeq, a predicted model, not a curated record
CCCCGCCCCCGGCGGCGGAAGCGGCCCGGAGCGGCCCCCGCGCCCAGCGCAGUGCGCCCGCCCGGCCGUGGGCCGUACCACCGCGCGUGGGGGGAGCCGCGAGGGGCUGCGAGGCGGCUGGCCGUGGGAGUCAGGGCGCCAAGGCUGAGUGUCGGGGAGCGGAGGCGGACUCCCGAAGUCCGGAAGUACGGACCGUUCAGGAAACCCGGCAGAGGGCGGAGGGCGGCCCCCAGUCCUCGGCCGGGCCCGCCCCUGCCCAAACCCGGCAUCCUCGGAGCGGAUGAAAAGACGCAUUCAUUCCAGGCGGGCGGGCGGAGGACGAGAUGAAUAGGGAGGGUCCGAGUGUCCCUGCUCCCUGGGGCGUACAAUGGACAAGGACGUUCAUUCAUUCAUUCGUUCACGCGUCAAAUAUUUAACGUGCCCUUGCUCCAGGCCAGGCUUUGGCCUAUCUCUGCUCCUGGUGGAGGGAACAGUGCGUGCAAAGGCCUAGAGGACGGCCGGAGGGAUCCAGCACGCUUUAUUUAGGAUGGUGCACUCUCGGAGGAGCUGGCAAAGCCGUGUGAAAGGGUGCAGCGGUGCGGGGAGCGGCGCGAGAUGGCCUGCUCGCGUGUUGCUUAGACCGGCGAAUACUUACUGAGCACAUACUCCGUGCUACACUACGAAGGGCGCCCAGCUCGCCGCGGUCCUGCCCUCGGGGAGCUGACCUUCCAUGAGUCUGUCUCCUCCAGCUGACUGUCCCCCACCCCGGUCCCGCACAGAGCCGGGUCUCAGCACAAGUGUGGAUGAAAGGACCAGGAAGUGAAGAUCCAUCUGUAUUGCUAAUGUCUUGAAUCUGUUUUCUUCUAACUGAGCCUUGGUGCCCCACGGAAUGCACCCCUUCCGUCUGAGUCCUCUGUUCCCCAGGGACGGACACCAGGCAGCCUCCAGCUCACCACACCACAGUGAACAGCCACGGAUAUGCCCCCUUAGGGACCUGGGGAGAGCCUCCACAGAAGAGAGACCUGGCUGCAGAGGUGCUGGGGCACAGGGCGAACUCAACUACUACGUGGCCCCCAGAGCAGCUGCCCCCAUCACACCCACUGACAGUGGGGGAGAGUCCCACGUCCCCAUAUCUCCGCCAGCCACUGGUAUUAUCCAGCUUCUAAUUUUUGCCACUCUGACUCACUGUCAAGUGACAUCCUAUUGCUUUACUUUACGUUUCUCUGAUUUCUAAUCACUUUGUGCAUCUCUUCCUUGGCUUGAUGGCCUGCGGGUCUUCCUCUUCUGUAAACGCCCGUUCAGACUCUGCCUAUGUCUCGCUGGGGGUUGCUGUCUUGUUCUUGUUGAUUUGCAUGUGUUCCUCAGACUCUAGAUCUGCACUGUCCCAUCUGAUCCAACGUGAACUCUCCACUCUCCACACAUGGCUCCUGAGCACUUGAAGUGUGGCUAAUGCAAACUGAGCUGUCCGGUCAGUGGAAAGCACACCGGCUUUCUAAGACUUAGUACAAACAGAAGGGUAUAUCACAUCUUGUUAACUCAUUUUAUACUGAUUCCAUGUCACAGUAAUAGUAAUGUUGAUGUAUUGGGCUAAAUAAAGUGUAUUCAAAUUAA